This 485-nucleotide ribosomal RNA is filed under the name Theileria sp. Its description in RNAcentral is "SSU rRNA". It matches the Rfam family "Eukaryotic small subunit ribosomal RNA", at positions 488 to 1005 of the family's 1831-position model. The record is from RNAcentral. Lineage: Eukaryota; Apicomplexa; Aconoidasida; Piroplasmida; Theileriidae.
CGGGCAAUUGCGGCAUUGAUACCUCCGCAUGAUGGAGAUUAUACCUCUACCAGAGAAUCAAUUGGAGGGCAAGUCUGGUGCCAGCAGCCGCGGUAAUUCCAGCUCCAAUAGCGUAUAUUAAAAUUGUUGCAGUUAAAAAGCUCGUAGUUGAAUUUCUGCUGCAUUGCUUUUGCUCCUUUACGAGUCUUUGCAUUGUGGCUUAUUUCGGACUUUGUUUUACAAUGUCCGGAUGUUUACUUUGAGAAAAUUAGAGUGCUCAAAGCAGGCUUUCGCCUUGAAUAGUUUAGCAUGGAAUAAUAAAGUAGGACUUUGGUUCUAUUUUGUUGGUUUUAGGUACCAAAGUAAUGGUUAAUAGGAACAGUUGGGGGCAUUCGUAUUUAACUGUCAGAGGUGAAAUUCUUAGAUUUGUUAAAGACGAACUACUGCGAAAGCAUUUGCCAAGGAUGUUUUCAUUAAUCAAGAACGAAAGUUAGGGGAUCGAAGAA